This 465-nucleotide ribosomal RNA is filed under the name uncultured bacterium. Its description in RNAcentral is "partial 16S ribosomal RNA". It matches the Rfam family "Bacterial small subunit ribosomal RNA", at positions 28 to 506 of the family's 1533-position model. The record is from RNAcentral.
GAUGAACGCUGGCGGCGUGCUUAACACAUGCAAGUCGAACGGAAAGGCCACAGCUUGCUGUGGUACUCGAGUGGCGAACGGGUGAGUAACACGUGGGUGAUCUGCCCUGUACUUCGGGAUAAGCUUGGGAAACUGGGUCUAAUACCGGAUAGGAAUCACAUGUGGGUGUGUGGUUGGAAAGCUUUUGCGGUAUGGGAUGAGCUCGCGGCCUAUCAGCUUGUUGGUGGGGUAAUGGCCUACCAAGGCGUCGACGGGUAGCCGGCCUGAGAGGGUGUACGGCCACAUUGGGACUGAGAUACGGCCCAGACUCCUACGGGAGGCAGCAGUAGGGAAUAUUGCACAAUGGGCGCAAGCCUGAUGCAGCGACGCCGCGUGGGGGAUGACGGCCUUCGGGUUGUAAACUCCUUUCGUCAGGGACGAAGCGAAAGUGACGGUACCUGGAUAAGAAGCACCGGCUAACUACGU